UACGUAGGGUGCAAGCGUUGUCCGGAAUUAUUGGGCGUAAAGAGCUCGUAGGCGGUUCGUCGCGUCGGCUGUGAAAACCCGGAGCUCAACUCCGGGCCUGCAGUCGAUACGGGCGGACUUGAGUGUUGCAGGGGAGACUGGAAUUCCUGGUGUAGCGGUGAAAUGCGCAGAUAUCAGGAGGAACACCGAUGGCGAAGGCAGUUCUCUGGGCCGUAACUGACGCUGAGGAGCGAAAGCGUGGGGAGCGAACAGG
This 253-nucleotide ribosomal RNA is filed under the name uncultured bacterium. Its description in RNAcentral is "partial 16S ribosomal RNA". It matches the Rfam family "Bacterial small subunit ribosomal RNA", at positions 524 to 776 of the family's 1533-position model. The record is from RNAcentral.